AGCGCACCCUUCGGGGCGAGCGGCGGACGGGUUAGUAACGCGUGGGAACGUACCCAGAUCUACGGAAUAGCCUCGGGAAACUGAGAGUAAUACCGUAUACGCCCUUCGGGGGAAAGAUUUAUCGGAUUUGGAUCGGCCCGCGUUAGAUUANAUAGUUGGUGGGGUAACNGGCCUACCAAGUCUACGAUCUAUAGCUGGUUUUAGAGGAUGAUCAGCAACACUGGGACUGAGACACGGCCCAGACUCCUACGGGAGGCAGCAGUGGGGAAUCUUAGACAAUGGGCGAAAGCCUGAUCUAGCGAUGCCGCGUGAGUGAUGAAGGCCUUAGGGUCGUAAAGCUCUUUCGCCAGGGAUGAUAAUGACAGUACCUGGUAAAGAAACCCCGGCUAACUCCGUGCCAGCAGCCGCGGUAAUACGGAGGGGGUUAGCGUUGUUCGGAAUUACUGGGCGUAAAGCGCACGUAGGCGGACCGAAAAGUUGGGGGUGAAAUCCCGGGGCUCAACCCCGGAACUGCCUCCAAAACUGCCGGUCUAGAGUUCGAGAGAGGUGAGUGGAAUUCCGAGUGUAGAGGUGAAAUUCGUAGAUAUUCGGAGGAACACCAGUGGCGAAGGCGGCUCACUGGCUCGAUACUGACGCUGAGGUGCGAAAGUGUGGGGAGCAAACAGGAUUAGAUACCCUGGUAGUCCACACCGUAAACGAUGAAUGC
This 706-nucleotide ribosomal RNA is filed under the name alpha proteobacterium SY190. Its description in RNAcentral is "bacterial SSU rRNA". It matches the Rfam family "Bacterial small subunit ribosomal RNA", at positions 65 to 816 of the family's 1533-position model. Lineage: Bacteria; Pseudomonadati; Pseudomonadota; Alphaproteobacteria. The record is from RNAcentral.